GACCUGGUGGUGUAAUGGUUAACACAUCUGUUGAGUUUUACAGUGAUGCCUGAAGAUUAAUAUGCAGGAGAUUUGCGUUCGAUCCGUGGUCAGGUCG
Mycena epipterygia is the source of this 97-nucleotide non-coding RNA. NCBI's taxonomy places the organism in Eukaryota, Fungi, Basidiomycota, Agaricomycetes, Agaricales, Mycenaceae. The record is from the annotation of a GenBank genome assembly.